UACGAGGGGGGCAAAUGUUGUUCGGAAUCACUGGGCGUAAAGGGUGCGUAGGCGGGUCUUUAAGUCAGGGGUGAAAUCCUGGAGCUCAACUCCAGAACUGCCUUUGAUACUGAAGACCUUGAGUUCGGGAGAGGUGAGUGGAACUGCGAGUGUAGAGGUGAAAUUCGUAGAUAUUCGCAAGAACACCAGUGGCGAAGGCGGCUCACUGGCCCGAUACUGACGCUGAGGCACGAAAGCGUGGGGAGCAAACAGG
RNAcentral lists this ribosomal RNA (253 nucleotides) under uncultured bacterium. RNAcentral's name for it is "partial 16S ribosomal RNA". It matches the Rfam family "Bacterial small subunit ribosomal RNA", at positions 524 to 776 of the family's 1533-position model. The record is from RNAcentral.